UCGCCUUCAUCCGAAACAAAAUCCCACCUUUAUCGGUUUUGCACUAAACAAGACCCACCAGCCACAAUUCGCGGUGGUUUUGAACCACCGUAGCAAGAAGAACAAGCCGGAGAGAGAGAGAGAGAGAGAGAGAGAGAGAGAGAGAGAGACUCAGUCAACGACUCCCGCAUAGAGAUAAAAGAGGUUAGUUUGUGAGGGAUGUUCAUAAUUACCAACAAGUAGAUGCAACCUCUAUUUUCUUACGUGUUAACCAUAUACGUUAUGUGAUUGAGAGGAAGUGAGUUCUCUGGCAGAUGAAAGCAAAGAUACCGCCAAGUACAUAUAUUUUUCUAUUCAUGCCCCACGCGGAGGAGGAGGUUCGUCACAAUCUUCUGCAGUGAGUUGGCAGACAGUGUCCUCGCAAGUAGUAAUAUGGGGAAGAUGGUGGGUUUGUCAACAGACUGCAAAGCUUAUUAAAGAAGUGAGUUGACUUGAUCCAUUUCUUUUGUUUCUUUUAUGUUCAUGAAUCUUAAUAGUUUUCAAGAGUUAGGCAAGAGUUUAUGUUCAUUCUAUAGUGAUUAUAUUGGUCGAUGUUAGCUUAAACUAGAGUGAUUGUGAAACCUCUGAAGAAAUGAAAUGUGUUUUGUUUAAAAAUGGCCU
Molecule: non-coding RNA, 639 nt
Organism: Camelina sativa (false flax)
Lineage: Eukaryota; Viridiplantae; Streptophyta; Magnoliopsida; Brassicales; Brassicaceae
Source: RefSeq, a predicted model, not a curated record